Long non-coding RNA from Seriola aureovittata, 371 nucleotides. RefSeq lists it as uncharacterized. NCBI's taxonomy places the organism in Eukaryota, Metazoa, Chordata, Actinopteri, Carangiformes, Carangidae. The record is from RefSeq and is a predicted model, not a curated record. The transcript has 2 exons.
GUUCUCCUCCUGGUCCGGUUCUGUCCCAUCAUGCCCCACAGUGAACCUGGAGAGGAAAAGGUGAACUGUCAGCCAAUCAGAGAGGAGAACAGCCGGACGGGUUGACACACAGAGGAGGCCGGUGACGGACGGGUCAUGCUGUGGUGGGCGGUCCCAGUCAUCGUCACUCAGACCCAGAUCUGAUAGCGGAUUGGCUCGCUGGCGAGUGGAGGACGAUGACUGGCUGUUGGUUGUCUUGGCGUUGCGCCACUCGUGGAAACUGUAGGGAGACGACUGAAAAGGUGGAGCUGCAAACAAACAGAAAUGUUUUAUCAAUGACUCAUAACUUGUAUCUGCAGGGUUCACCAAAUAAAACACUUUUAAUAACUUUA